This 780-nucleotide non-coding RNA is filed under the name Myrmeleon immanis. Lineage: Eukaryota; Metazoa; Arthropoda; Insecta; Neuroptera; Myrmeleontidae. The record is from RNAcentral.
AAAAGUUUGAUCUUGGCUCUUAUUUUAUUUAUUCUUUAUUUUACAUGUAAAUUUUUGUGUGAAUUACUUUUAAUUUUAAUAUUUGGAAGUAAAAUUUUUAAUCGCAGUAUUUUGUAUUGAUCAUUAAGGUGACUUUGAAUCGGUGAAAGUUUUAGUUCAGGACAAAUUUGUGCCAGCAUCUGCGGUUAUACAAAUUGUGCAAAUAAAAGCUCUUGGUUUAAGUAGUUAAUUGUUAUUUUUAGGAUUAAAUUAUAAAUUUAUUUAGGUGAAAUUUAAUUUUAUUCAAUAUUCUUAAUUUAAUUAUGAAGCUAUGAAAUUUAUUUUAAAAACUAGGAUUAGAUACCCUAUUAUUUUAAAUGUUAAAAUUAACCUGGGUAGUAUUAGAUAUGAUCUUGAAACCUAAAAGAUUUGGCGGUGUCUUAGUCUUUUUAGAGGAACCUGUUCCGUGAUCGAUAGUCCACGAUUAAUUUUACUGAAUUUAUAAAGUUUAUAUACCGUCGUUACCAGAAUAUUUUAUAAGAAUAUAAUUAUCUUAAAUUUUUAUAAAAAUUUAUUUCAGAUCAAGGUGUAGCUAAUAAUUUAGAGGAAAUGGGUUACAAUAAAACUAAUUUACUACGGAUAUGAAAUUGAAAUAUUUUAUUAAAGGUGGAUUUAACUGUAAAUUUAUUUAUGUUAAUAAAUUGAUUUUAGCUCUAAGACAUGUACACAUCGCCCGUCGCUCUUUUUAAAUAAAGAUAAGUCGUAACAUAGUAGGUGUACUGGAAAGUGUAUCUAGAAGGA